RNAcentral lists this long non-coding RNA (812 nucleotides) under Oryza sativa (Asian cultivated rice). RNAcentral's name for it is "long non-coding RNA (OSAT_LNC001077)". The record is from RNAcentral. Lineage: Eukaryota; Viridiplantae; Streptophyta; Magnoliopsida; Poales; Poaceae.
CCGCUGCUCUCCCCGCUGGCCAUCGCCGCGGCCUCCGGGUCGAACGACAGGUACGGCAUUGCGCCGAACGCCCUGGCGAGCGCGGCGGCGGUGGCGCCGUCGGUCCUCUGCUUGAGCACCUCGAACAUCACCUCGGGCUCGUGCUGCAUCGAGCGGAGCACGUCGGCGCACGACGGCCCCGCCGCCGCGCGCGUGACGGCGAAGCAGUGCGGCCCGUCGCUCUGCGACACGCGCACCACGCUCGGCCCGCCGAACAGGUUGUGGAGGCCGCCGAGGGCCUCCUGGUAGGCGCCGCCGAGGAACAUGCCGAGGUAGUAGCCGCGGGUGCCGUGGACGGGGAGCUCGUGCAGCGGCAGGCUGUGCCUCCCGCCGAUGAAGUGGUCGACCUUGCCGUCGCUGUCGCAGGUGAGGUCGGAGAGGACGCCGUCGACCGCAGGGCGCUCACCGAGGCGCUGGAUUGGGAUGAUCGGGAACAUCUGCCCGAUCGCCCACAUGUCCGGCAGGGAGGUGAACACGGACAGGUUGAUGUGGUACGUGCGCGGCGGCUCGGCGGCGCCCAUGCCGCGGGCGACGAUCUCGCAGAGGCUGUCCACCGCGGCGAGGUGCUCCAGGCCAAGAACGCCGUCCUUGAACUGAUCGGCGCAGCGCCGCUUCAGCUGGUCGGCGUACAGAGCGCAGGUGUCGAAGUCGCCGCGCACCGCGGCGGCCAUGAGGUUGCGGUAGUCGGCGUGGCAGUCGUCGGUGAGCUCGUCGAGCAGGUAGCCCGUGGCCGGGUCAAUGCGGCCGGGCGCCGAAGCCGAGAAGGCCUCGAA